UAGGGAAUCUUCGGCAAUUGACGAAAGUCUGACCGAGCAACGCCGCGUGAGUGAAGAAGGUUUUCGGAUCGUAAAACUCUGUUGUUAGAGAAGAACAAGGACGUUAGUAACUGAACGUCCCCUGACGGUAUCUAACCAGAAAGCCACGGCUAACUACGUGCCAGCAGCCGCGGUCAUACGUAGGUGGCAAGCGUUGUCCGGAUUUAUUGGGCGUAAAGCGAGCGCAGGCGGUUUCUUAAGUCUGAUGUGAAAGCCCCCGGCUCAACCGGGGAGGGUCAUUGGAAACUGGGAGACUUGAGUGCAGAAGAGGGGAGUGGAAUUCCAUGUGUAGCGGUGAAAUGCGUUGAUAUAUGGAGGAACACCAGUGGCGAAGGCGGCUCUCUGGUCUAUAACUGACGCUGAGGCUCGAAAGCGUGGGGAGCAAACAGG
RNAcentral lists this ribosomal RNA (429 nucleotides) under Gemmatimonadota bacterium. RNAcentral describes it as "Gemmatimonadetes bacterium partial 16S ribosomal RNA". It matches the Rfam family "Bacterial small subunit ribosomal RNA", at positions 355 to 776 of the family's 1533-position model. The record is from RNAcentral. Lineage: Bacteria; Pseudomonadati; Gemmatimonadota.